This 494-nucleotide ribosomal RNA is filed under the name uncultured bacterium. Its description in RNAcentral is "partial 16S ribosomal RNA". It matches the Rfam family "Bacterial small subunit ribosomal RNA", at positions 28 to 507 of the family's 1533-position model. The record is from RNAcentral.
GACGAACGCUGGCGGCGUGCUUAACACAUGCAAGUCGAACGGUGAAGCGCCUUCCUUUUUGGUGGGUGUGGAUGAGUGGCGAACGGGUGAGUAACACGUGAGUAACCUGCCCCCUUCUUCUGGAUAACCGCAUGAAAGUGUGGCUAAUACGGGAUAUUCUGGGUCUGUCGCAUGAUGGGUCUGGGAAAGAUAUUGUUUCGGUGGGGGAUGGGCUCGCGGCCUAUCAGCUUGUUGGUGGGGUGAUGGCCUACCAAGGCGGUGACGGGUAGCCGGCCUGAGAGGGUGGCGGGCCACAUGGGGACAGAGACGCGGCCAGGCCUCAGCGGGGGGCCGGCGGGGGGGAAUAGGGCAAAAGGGGGGAGGGUGUGAUGCGGCGCCCCCGGGUGGGGGAGGGGGCCCUGGGGGUUGGGACCCUUUUCCGCAGGUGAAGCAGGCCGGCCUCUUUUGUGGGUGGGUUGAGGGUAGCUGAAAAAGAGGCGCCGGCUAACUCCGUC